GGGAUUGUGGCUCAGUGAUAGAGUGCUUGCCUAGCAAGCAUGAGGCAUUGGGUUUGAUCCCCGUAAACACA
This 71-nucleotide transfer RNA is filed under the name Ictidomys tridecemlineatus (thirteen-lined ground squirrel). RNAcentral describes it as "Spermophilus tridecemlineatus (thirteen-lined ground squirrel) tRNA". It matches the Rfam family "tRNA". Rfam says of the family: Transfer RNA (tRNA) molecules are approximately 80 nucleotides in length. Their secondary structure includes four short double-helical elements and three loops (D, anti-codon, and T loops). Lineage: Eukaryota; Metazoa; Chordata; Mammalia; Rodentia; Sciuridae. The record is from Rfam by way of RNAcentral.